This 502-nucleotide ribosomal RNA is filed under the name Paenibacillus favisporus. RNAcentral describes it as "bacterial SSU rRNA". It matches the Rfam family "Bacterial small subunit ribosomal RNA", at positions 27 to 508 of the family's 1533-position model. The record is from RNAcentral. Lineage: Bacteria; Bacillati; Bacillota; Bacilli; Caryophanales; Paenibacillaceae.
GGACGAACGCUGGCGGCGUGCCUAAUACAUGCAAGUCGAGCGGACUUGAUGGAGAGCUUGCUCUCCUGAUGGUUAGCGGCGGACGGGUGAGUAACACGUAGGCAACCUGCCUGCAAGACCGGGAUAACCCACGGAAACGUGAGCUAAUACCGGAUAUCUCAUUUCCUCUCCUGAGGGRAUGAUGAAAGACGGAGCAAUCUGUCACUUGCGGAUGGGCCUGCGGCGCAUUAGCUAGUUGGUGAGGUAACGGCUCACCAAGGCGACGAUGCGUAGCCGACCUGAGAGGGUGAACGGCCACACUGGGACUGAGACACGGCCCAGACUCCUACGGGAGGCAGCAGUAGGGAAUCUUCCGCAAUGGGCGAAAGCCUGACGGAGCAACGCCGCGUGAGUGAUGAAGGUUUUCGGAUCGUAAAGCUCUGUUGCCAGGGAAGAACGUCCGRUAGAGUAACUGCUAUCGGAGUGACGGUACCUGAGAAGAAAGCCCCGGCUAACUACGUGC